AAACAUCUUUUCUUGUUAGUUUUUGAAGUAUGGCCUGCCCGCUGACAUUGAGUGUUGAAGGGCCGCGGUAUUUUGACCGUGCAAAGGUAGCAUAAUCAUUAGUUCUUUAAUUGUGAUCUGGAAUGAAUGGCUUGACGAGACACGAGCUGUCUUAAUGUUGAAUGUUUUAUUGAAUUUGGUCUUUGAGUUAAAAUUCUUAGAUGUUUUUAUGGGACGAGAAGACCCUAUAGAGUUUGACAUUUGGUUUAUUUAUUUGUUGGUUGUUUGUUUAUUUUGUUGGUGAGUAGGCUUUUUGUUUUGUUGGGGUGAUGAGAGGAAUGUAGUUAACUCUUCUUUAUUUUGAUUAUAUUUAUUUAUAGUUAUUUGAUCCAUUUAUUUUGAUUAUAAGACUAAAUUACCUUAGGGAUAACAGCGUAAA
Molecule: ribosomal RNA, 418 nt
Filed under: Coptotermes sepangensis
Lineage: Eukaryota; Metazoa; Arthropoda; Insecta; Blattodea; Rhinotermitidae
Description: partial 16S ribosomal RNA
Source: RNAcentral